RNAcentral lists this ribosomal RNA (566 nucleotides) under uncultured bacterium. RNAcentral's name for it is "bacterial SSU rRNA". It matches the Rfam family "Bacterial small subunit ribosomal RNA", at positions 338 to 916 of the family's 1533-position model. The record is from RNAcentral.
CCUACGGGAGGCAGCAGUGGGGAAUAUUGCACAAUGGGCGGAAGCCUGAUGCAGCGACGCCGCGUGAGGGAUGAAGGCCUUCGGGUUGUAAACCUCUUUCAGCAGGGACGAAGCGUGAGUGACGGUACCUGCAGAAGAAGCACCGGCUAACUACGUGCCAGCAGCCGCGGUAAUACGUAGGGUGCGAGCGUUGUCCGGAAUUACUGGGCGUAAAGAGUUCGUAGGCGGUUUGUCGCGUCGUUUGUGAAAACCCGGGGCUCAACUUCGGGCUUGCAGGCGAUACGGGCAGACUUGAGUGUUUCAGGGGAGACUGGAAUUCCUGGUGUAGCGGUGAAAUGCGCAGAUAUCAGGAGGAACACCGGUGGCGAAGGCGGGUCUCUGGGAAACAACUGACGCUGAGGAACGAAAGCGUGGGUAGCAAACAGGAUUAGAUACCCUGGUAGUCCACGCCGUAAACGGUGGGCGCUAGGUGUGGGUUCCUUCCACGGGAUCUGUGCCGUAGCUAACGCAUUAAGCGCCCCGCCUGGGGAUACGGCCGCAAGGCUAAAACUCAAAAGGAUUGACGG